AGAGUGAAACAAGCAUGUCUAAGUAUAAGCACUUAUCCUGUGAAACUGCGAAUGGCUCAUUUCAUCAGUUAUAGUUUACAGGAUGGUACCUGCUACUCGUAUAACCGUAGUAGUUCUAGAGGUAAUACGUGCGUAAAGCCCGACUUCUGGAAGGGCCGUAUAUAUUAGAUAAAAGCCCGACCAGCUUGGUCGGUCUGCGCUGAAUCAUGAUAUCUUAUCGAAUCGCAUGGCCUUCGUGCCGGCGAUGUUUCAUUCAAAUUUCUGCCCUAUCAACUUUCGAUGGUAGGAUAGAGGCACGCCAUGGUGGUAACGGGUGACGGAGAAUUAGGGUUCGAUUCCGGAGAGGGAGCCGAGAAACGGCUACCACAUCCAAGGAAGGCAGCAGGCGCGCAAAUUACCCACUCGUGACACAGGGAGGUAGUGACAAUACAUAACAAUACCGGGCUUCUUUAAGUUAGGUAAUGGAAUGAGAACAAUGUAAACCCCUUAACGAGGAUCCAUUGAGGGCAAGUCCAU
This 516-nucleotide ribosomal RNA is filed under the name uncultured marine eukaryote. Its description in RNAcentral is "bacterial SSU rRNA". It matches the Rfam family "Eukaryotic small subunit ribosomal RNA", at positions 41 to 564 of the family's 1831-position model. The record is from RNAcentral.